This 610-nucleotide ribosomal RNA is filed under the name uncultured bacterium. Its description in RNAcentral is "bacterial SSU rRNA". It matches the Rfam family "Bacterial small subunit ribosomal RNA", at positions 323 to 924 of the family's 1533-position model. The record is from RNAcentral.
GACACGGCCCAGACUCCUACGGGAGGCAGCAGUGGGGAAUCUUGCACAAUGCGCGAAAGCGUGAUGCAGCAACGCCGCGUGGGGGAAGAAGGCCUUCGGGUUGUAAACCCCUUUCAGUUGGGACGAAGCUUCGCCGGUUAAUAGCUGGCUGGAGUGACGGUACCUUCAGAAGAAGCCCCGGCUAACUACGUGCCAGCAGCCGCGGUAAUACGUAGGGGGCAAGCGUUGUCCGGAAUCAUUGGGCGUAAAGCGCGUGUAGGCGGUUCGGUAAGUCUGCUGUGAAAGUCCAGGGCUCAACCCUGGGAUGCCGGUGGAUACUGUCGGACUAGAGUACGGAAGAGGCGAGUGGAAUUCCCGGUGUAGCGGUGAAAUGCGCAGAUAUCGGGAGGAACACCAAUUGCGAAGGCAGCUCGCUGGGACGUCACUGACGCUGAGACGCGAAAGCGUGGGGAGCAAACAGGAUUAGAUACCCUGGUAGUCCACGCCGUAAACGAUGGGCACUAGGUGUGGGGGGUGUCGACUCCCUCCGUGCCGAAGCUAACGCAUUAAGUGCCCCGCCUGGGGAGUACGGCCGCAAGGCUAAAACUCAAAGGAAUUGACGGGGGCCCGC